UUCAACAGACAGGAACGCUCCAGACAACCAAGCACCCCGAGCUGCCAACUGGUGCUCUCAGCGCUGCUGGGCCAGCACCAGCUGCCGCCACCGGGGGUCAACUAUGCAGGGCAGGUGCUUCUCCUGGGGAAGCACAGGAAGUGGGAUCAAACUCAGGACAUCAGGCUUGUAUGGCAAGUGCUGCUGAAAAACAUGUGUGUGGGUGUUUUGCCUGCAUGUAUGCCUGUGCACCACAUGCACACCUGGUGGCCGCACAGGCUGGAAGAGGACUUUGGAUCCUCUGGACCUGGAGUUACAGAUGGCUGAGAGUCACCAUGCGUGAAGAACCCAGGAAGAGCCAACAACAGCAGCGCCUGUAAUCCCAGCAUGCCUCCAGCGAGACAGGAGGUGGAGGCAGAGGCCCCUCAGAAGCCAGAGGGCCAGCUAGCCUGGUGGACACACAGCAGACAACAAAGAGACCCUGUCUCAAACAAGGCAGAUGGUGAGGACUGACUGACAUCCGAGGCUGUUUCCUGACCUCCACACAUGUGCCAAGGCGGACACACCCUCAUAAACACCCCCCCACACACACACAGGUGUGUACACAUACAGGGAAAGGAAAGGGGCCGAAGCUGGAGCAGGAUAUCUUGGUCCCCUCCAGCACUGCAAAUAAAAACAGAUUUA
Molecule: non-coding RNA, 663 nt
Organism: Myodes glareolus (Bank vole)
Lineage: Eukaryota; Metazoa; Chordata; Mammalia; Rodentia; Cricetidae
Source: RefSeq, a predicted model, not a curated record